Molecule: long non-coding RNA, 1302 nt
Organism: Lathyrus oleraceus (garden pea)
Lineage: Eukaryota; Viridiplantae; Streptophyta; Magnoliopsida; Fabales; Fabaceae
Exons: 3
Source: RefSeq, a predicted model, not a curated record
GUGAACGCCUCCUUGUCUCCUCCUAUUUAAAAACUCUUUUCAUUUUCUCUCUCUGCUUUUCAUUUUCUCCUCCUAUGUUCUAACACCAACAUCACCCUCGAAUUAACCACGACGGUAGUAACAGGAAUCCUCGACAGGGUAGCACCGUCGUGAGCGCCCAUAACUCAGAGAAAAAUCCUAACCUUACCCAUUAAAAACCCAAAUCUAACCAUGUAGUUUCCAAAUCAAAAACAAAGGUCCAAAGAACCGAAGCAACAACAAAACAACAGAACAACAGAAAUCUCAUGUAAUAAUCAUGGGGGUUAUGGUAUAUGAGGCGAUACAUACAAGGUGGUAGCAUCAAAUCAAACAGAGGGAAAGUUUAAAUACCAAAUCGGAGCUAGUCCGACGUUCGACUCCGGUCAAGGCGAGAGUAAGGGCGCUGGAAAAAGUUUUUUUCAUCCUAAUGAUGGACGGUCUUUAUAUAGAGUUUUGGAGGUACGAGGUUUCUCACUCCUGAGCUGGCGGAAAUUCCAAAUAAUUCCGUUAGAAUCAAAUCCCCUCUAGAUUUUGGUGUGGUCCCAGGAAUGAAGGUGGUGAGAUUUGUUUCUGUUUUGUCCGUAGUGAAAUCUUCAAAAUCAAGUAUCCUGUGUUGAGUUUCUCAUUUACCGCCAUGAAAGAUCUACGUGUCGUGGUAAGAGUACUUUUUCACUUUUGUCUUGUUUUGCUCAUAGAAUCGAAGAUUUUUAACCAUGGUUGUAAUUUGGUAAAUCUUCUGUUGUAGCAGGUAAUCUCAAGGCUAGCUUCACAUCCAUGUAUCGCUUCGACGUCUAUGACGGUAAGCGUCCUGCAGCAAGUUAGGUGUACCUUAGUUUGAAGUGUCGUAACGUUGGUCCUCCUUACUUUGGGAAUCGACACGGAAUGCUUUCUUUUGGACAUGGUGAUGGAAUUAUUUUAUGUGUUAUCAUUUUGUUUCCUCAACAUAACUCAUGACUAUUUGAUACACAAACUGGUUUUUUAUACUGAUAUGACAAAGUUGCUUUCAGUAUGCAACUCACAGUUUUAUUGGAGGAAGAUUCUCCAACAGGUGCAUUGAAUCAUGACUAUGUUGGUUUAAUAUUGAUGCGGGAAGUUUGUUGUGCCUUUUGUCGUUCUGCUGAUGUUUCAGGUCUAACAGGUUUUGCCGUCAUUCCAAAUUUGGUUCAGCGGCGUUGAUGCUUAGAGAUUUGUGUGAAAAUUUGGUUGAGACUUUGGCUUGAUUAGUAUUUGGUCAAACAUCCAUGUUUUCUCGAAUUGCAUUGUCUUAUGUAGCUUGCUCUAGUU